AAUUUAGAUGCUGGCAAUUAUAGCCUUCGAACCAGGUCAGGACUGAAAAGUAGCAGCCUUAAGGAGUAACUAUAAUGUGCUGGCUAUUUUAAUAGA
This 96-nucleotide signal recognition particle RNA is filed under the name Bacilli bacterium. RNAcentral describes it as "signal recognition particle sRNA small type". It matches the Rfam family "Bacterial small signal recognition particle RNA". Rfam says of the family: The signal recognition particle (SRP) is a universally conserved ribonucleoprotein involved in the co-translational targeting of proteins to membranes. Lineage: Bacteria; Bacillati; Bacillota; Bacilli. The record is from RNAcentral.